CUUCACACACCUAGCAUUUUACCACCAUAAUUUCUGCAGUUCAAUCCCGUUUACUCCAGUUGCCAAAUUAGUGUUCUUCUUCAACCUAAUCCCUAUCGGUUUUUCAUACGUUACGGAACAAAAAAUUCCUCAUCAACAGGUCCAUUAUUUCUGGUAAUAAAUUCCUAGAAAUGUUAAAAACAAGUGAUCUUCCGAGGGUUCUCAGUUUCCUUAUAAACCGUACUCUCUACACUGUCAAUGCUGCAUUUUGUUGGUAGAGGACGUAUUGAGAAACCAUUCAUCUCAGGAAGAUCAUUUACAUCAACACUGAACUACUAUGUGUAAAACUCAUUUGUGCGGGUCUUUAAUAUAUGGCUUUGCAUUUUCAUUUUUUCAGUAUUAUUUGGUGUUUGGAAAAAUGGGUUGCCAAUGUUAGAGAAACUAAUCAAUAGGAUCCUUCAUGUAAUUUGCAAUACACAAUUAUACAUUGUGAUGGAUACAGAGACUUUUGUUUUGGGUUGCUUCAUAUCAUCAGUGAGUUCCUAAGUUUUAUCAAUGGGGGUAUCAACAAAUCCAUGAAAGUAAUCUACGUAUGUACUAAGAGUCCUCAUUUUGUAAUGUUGAGUGUUUAUCAGAUAUUCCUAGUGGGUGUUUUGCAGGUAAUCAACAUUUGUACGGCUGUAGGAAGCUUGAUUGUUUCCGACGCUGAUUACCUUGGAGGUUCAAGCUAUGAGUUUCAAAUUUAUAUAAUCGAAAUGCCAUGAAAUUUCAUUAUCAUUCACAUAACAGAUAUAUACAUUCUCCAAAUUUCAGGCGUGCAAGGGAGCUAUCCUGUGUAUUACGGGCAUGCACAUUGCAAUGAACAUGGAAGAAGCUGAAAGAGAAGAGAAACUAACAAAUUGAUAAAUGAUUAUGCUUUUCAGAAGUUUGGAUAAAUGCUCUUCUUGAUUCUCACCGACUAUUCCAUUCUCAUAUUCUUCUUCUUUUACCUGUUGAUCGCUGUAGCUGUGGUGGGAUGAUAUUUAGUGACGGCAAAGCUUAUAAAAUUAUUGUCGUGAUAGAAUAGUCGGUGAGAAUCAAGAACAAAAGUCUCCGAAACCAUUUACGUCAAGUUUGUUCAAAUGGUGUCCCAGAUUCGCACCACCUACAAAACUUUCUAACAUAUAGAGGAGGUUGAAGAAGGUAAACCCUGGAUGAUCUUUCAAAAGCGGAACAAAUUAGAUUUCAUGGGGAUUAAUGAUGUCACCAGCUUAGAUGUGUUAAUGCUCGAUGAUAAUCCCACCCAAUCAAAAAAUCCACUGAAGAUUUAGUUAACAGGUAUUCUAAAGUCUGGCUAACAGGUAUUCGAAUGAUGUUCACUAGCAACAGUACGGUGUGAUAAAAUUAGGAAAGUUGUGUGCGUUAGUAUCGCGAGUGUCCCAUUUCCAUUCUUGAUGCUAAUUACUCGCAAAUACUAAUCUCGGACACAACGAAAUCUCCCACUAUUACCGGUUUUGGUCAGUAGAGGUAUGGGCGAUUUUGUUGCUUUUCUUUUCUCUGUUCUGGUGGAGAUCUAAACUGAUACAAUUGGAGAUCUUAAGAUGUUUUAUAUUGCUCGGCGGUGACAAAUUGGAGAGAGCCGCAAGAGAAAUAAUGUGCCAUCUGCAUGUGUAAAUUUUAUGGGCUUACAUUGCAAAACCCAAAGGACCCAUUUACAAGCCCCAUCAAUACAAGAAUUUCCGUCCCACUCCUUAAAAUUAAAUUUAAAUCUCCUUCCCUUCACAGCGAAGAGCCUCGUUGAUUCCAACUUGCUUGGUCUCAUGGGUUUACAACUCCCUCAACCUGAACAUGAUGCUACUACUCAUGCUGCAAGCAAGAAGGAUGCUAAAUGAACCCUCCACUUCUUAUACAAGUGUUGUUUCCUUACGGGAAAACACACACAUUCUGUUUCUCAGGACAAGACUAACUACAUCAAAAUUUUGGCAAGAUAGUACCAUAUAAUUUGAGCUUCUGCUUGCACUGGUAUAUUGUCGCAACUUCGUUUUUGGCUUUUCACUCUGUGCAAUUAUGUCAAAGUAGUUAUGUUUUGAACAUGGUCUUUAGAGUGGUAAAGCAUGUCCAGUGGUGUUCUUUCCGUGGGUACACGACAAGAUUGGUGUUCCGAAGACUUGAGCCUUCUAAUUCCGAAGAACAAGCCUGGAGAACAAAUACUGAUUGAUAAUAUUUCAUAUUUCCUUCUAUUACUGACUGUAAUUUGGCUAUUCCGCUGUUCCCACUUCUGAAUCGGCCUUAAGAGGAAGGUGCAAGAAACUCAGCGAUGUUGAGACAUUAGGCACUUUACCGGUUUGCUGCUCCAGGGAAGCCUUCCAUUCAUGCAAUUCGUGUAGCUCUCUGUGACUCGAAGUACACGGACGUGUUGGGAAAAAAAAGAGCGACUACUCUGGCUGGUAUUCCACUUUGUUAUAGAUUUUAUGGAGUACUCUGUUAGUUAAUUGAAGACUAAUUAUUUCCUAAGUUAGUCGUGACUGUUUUGGGAAAGGGGUUUCCUAAAACAGAUAGAAUUCUUGGAGGCCAAGUUUGUAACCUAUAUAAAUAGGUAAUUAGGCCUUGUGGAAUUAUAUUGUGUAGAAAAUGAUUAAGAGAUCGGUGAGAGAUUUCUUGUAUAGUUUUUAGGGCUAAAUCUAGGGUUUCGUUGUGAGAGCAUAUUGGUGAGGAACAAGAGACAAGGUUAUCAU
Molecule: long non-coding RNA, 2693 nt
Organism: Papaver somniferum (opium poppy)
Lineage: Eukaryota; Viridiplantae; Streptophyta; Magnoliopsida; Ranunculales; Papaveraceae
Exons: 6
Source: RefSeq, a predicted model, not a curated record